This 1026-nucleotide ribosomal RNA is filed under the name uncultured bacterium. RNAcentral's name for it is "bacterial SSU rRNA". It matches the Rfam family "Bacterial small subunit ribosomal RNA", at positions 8 to 1023 of the family's 1533-position model. The record is from RNAcentral.
AGAGUUUGAUCAUGGCUCAGGACGAACGCUGGCGGCGUGCCUAAUACAUGCAAGUAGAACGCUGAAGGAGGAGCUUGCUCUUCUGGAUGAGUUGCGAACGGGUGAGUAACGCGUAGGUAACCUGCCUGGUAGCGGGGGAUAACUAUUGGAAACGAUAGCUAAUACCGCAUAAUAGUAGAUGUUGCAUGACAUUUGCUUAAAAGGUGCAAUUGCAUCACUACCAGAUGGACCUGCGUUGUAUUAGCUAGUUGGUGGGGUAACGGCUCACCAAGGCGACGAUACAUAGCCGACCUGAGAGGGUGAUCGGCCACACUGGGACUGAGACACGGCCCAUACUCCUACGGGAGGCAGCAGUAGGGAGUUUUCGGCAAUGGGCGAAAGCCUGACCGAGCAACGCCGCGUGAGUGAUGAAGGUCUUCGGAUCGUAAAGCUCUGUUGUAGGUGAAGAACGAGAGUGAGCUUAGGAAAUGAGGCUAUUUUGACGGUAAUCUACCAGAAAGUGACGGCUAACUACGUGCCAGCAGCCGCGGUAAUACGUAGGUCACGAGCGUUAUCCGGAAUUAUUGGGCGUAAAGAGUGAGCAGGCGGUACGGCAAGUCUGAGGUGAAAGCGUAGGGCUCAACCCUAUAUAGCCUUGGAAACUACCGAACUAGAGUACGUGAGAGGUAAACAGAACUCCAUGUGUAGCGGUGAAAUGCGUAGAUAUAUGGAAGAAUACCGGUGGCGAAGGCGGUUUACCAGCACGAUACUGACGCUCAGUCACGAAAGCGUGGGGAGCAAAUAGGAUUAGAUACCCUAGUAGUCCACGCUGUAAACGAUGAUGACUAACUAUAGCCGUAAGGCUGUGGUGAAGCUAACGCAUUAAGUCAUCCGCCUGGGGAGUACGGUCGCAAGACUGAAACUUAAAGGAAUUGACGGGACCCCGCACAAGUAGUGGAGCAUGUGGUUUAAUUCGACGCUACGCGGAAAACCUUACCAGGGCUUGACAUGGAGACUAAGGCCAUAGAGAUAUGGAGAUAAUAGGUA